ACUCCCAACCCAAUGUGAACGUUACCAAACUGUUGCCUCGGCGGGAUCUCUGCCCCGGGCGCGUCGCAGCCCCGGACCAAGGCGCCCGCCGGAGGACCAACCAAAACUCUUUUUGUAUACCCCCUCGCGGGUUUUUUUAUAAUCUGAGCCUUCUCGGCGCCUCUCGUAGGCGUUUCGAAAAUGAAUCAAAACUUUCAACAACGGAUCUCUUGGUUCUGGCAUCGAUGAAGAACGCAGCGAAAUGCGAUAAGUAAUGUGAAUUGCAGAAUUCAGUGAAUCAUCGAAUCUUUGAACGCACAUUGCGCCCGCCAGUAUUCUGGCGGGCAUGCCUGUCCGAGCGUCAUUUCAACCCUCGAACCCCUCCGGGGGGUCGGCGUUGGGGAUCGGCCCUCCCUUAGCGGGUGGCCGUCUCCGAAAUACAGUGGCGGUCUCGCCGCAGCCUCUCCUGCGCAGUAGUUUGCACACUCGCAUCGGGAGCGCGGCGCGUCCACAGCCGUUAAACACCCAACUUCUGAAAUGUUGACCUCGGAUCAGGUAGGAAUACCCGCUGAACUUA
Molecule: ribosomal RNA, 556 nt
Filed under: Trichoderma sp. INBio2920A
Lineage: Eukaryota; Fungi; Ascomycota; Sordariomycetes; Hypocreales; Hypocreaceae
Description: eukaryotic LSU rRNA
Rfam family: 5.8S ribosomal RNA (bases 190-343)
Source: RNAcentral